Long non-coding RNA from Scophthalmus maximus (turbot), 1580 nucleotides. RefSeq lists it as uncharacterized. The record is from RefSeq and is a predicted model, not a curated record. The transcript has 4 exons. NCBI's taxonomy places the organism in Eukaryota, Metazoa, Chordata, Actinopteri, Pleuronectiformes, Scophthalmidae.
ACAGGCUGGUUUCCUGCCCACAGGGUGUGGUUUAUAAAAAUAGAGAAGUCAUCGUGACAGUGCAUGUUGUGCAGCUGGACUCCGGACUGAAGGUUCACAGCUCUGCAGCAGAUUUACUCAAAACAACAGCAAAACAAUGGCUUCAGUCAAUAUUGAAUACUGUCCAGGAUGAGGUUACGCCUCCCGGUACCAGACCCUGGCUGGUACCCUCAGCCAGAUUCCUGGUGUGGAGGUGACCGGAUUCAAAGGGAGAAACACGAGCUUUGAGGUGUCAGUGAACGGGCAGCUGAUCUACUCCAAGCUGAAGACGGGGACAUUUCCUGAUCCUGGAGAGGUAGCGGAAAUGGUGAGGAAGAUGGUCCAAGGCAAGAAAGGCGGGAAAAAGUAGAAGAGUCGGAGGAUGGAGGAUAAGAUGACAGCUGUAUUCACACUGCAAGACUACGUGGGGUUUUUUCUUCUGUGGUUCAGAACUCAUUCGAAUCUCACUCUCGUUACGUCUCCGUAACUGAAGGCCAAAACUAAUUCAAACACCGUCGACCAUCAUCAAAACCAGUUACCGCUCACUGUCAGCCAAGAAGGUCAGCCCAUGUCCUUCCUUCAGUGUGAAUACAGACGAAGACGAGCGACGAGAGCGACUCUGAGGAGCCGGCCGCUGAUCUGUACUUCUGUUUAUGAAUGUACACACUAAAAAAACACGUGGUGUGUACACGAUGCAAGUCUAGAAGCUUUUCAUCCGACUGGAGCCUGAGGCACUGCUCUCAUCUCGUCUGUCUGUCGUGCAGAAAAUAUAACUCUUAAUCAAGCCACAUAUUUCAUAUCCAGCUUUCGGCCUUUUUGAAUAAAUCCCAGGGUUUCUUGUCUCUACUGUGAUCGGUCGUGAUUGGAACUUAAAAGAGCCAGUAAGCUCAGCGCCUCUCAAGUUCACAAGUUCACAUUUCAUAUGUCACUUGUUUAGUCCGUACUAAAAUGACCAUUGGACUCGUUUCUUGACCGGGACCAGUGAAUUCCUCAGGUCUUCACAGCUGCUCCAGGUCAAACAAAAAGUCAAACACAUAACCGUCCUGUAAAAAAUUGCCAAUUGUCAUUUUGGGGGUUUUUGUACGAUUUAAACAAACAAGAUGUGUUCUGUAGCGUGGACAGAGUCAGGCCAGCUGAGCUGACCAACUUCUGGCUCCAGCUUCGUAUGUAUCAUGGUGUGCCAGCCUUUUCUCAGCUUCGGCGAGAAAAAACAUUUCUUUAAAUUUUUUGGUGAGGUUGCCGACAAAAUAUACUCCAGUAAUUUCUCAGUCUUUAAAUGUUGUGCAUUUCUCACCUAUGGAUGUCUUAAGCGCUAUUUUUAUAUUCAUCCCUUCCAUAUUCUGCUUUCCCUUCUACUAUUUCAACAGUUGUUGAAUACUAAUUCUGUAACAAAUGUUACAUAAGAAAAACUAACGUAAUUUAUGUAAUUUGACUUGAAACAUAUUUGAACUUAAAUGACUUGUUCCACUGUUCCAACAAUUUGUAACCAAUUCCAACCAACUUCCAAAUAAAUCCAAUCCGUUUUUUUUUCCGGAAAUGCAAUAAAAUAUGAGGGAUUAACA